RNAcentral lists this long non-coding RNA (728 nucleotides) under Homo sapiens (human). Its description in RNAcentral is "HSALNT0235358". The record is from RNAcentral. Lineage: Eukaryota; Metazoa; Chordata; Mammalia; Primates; Hominidae.
GCGCGUCUUAAAAUCGAUGGCGCCUAGGAGUCCAUGAAAUACGGGACAUCUCGCCCGUCCUGAAGGACCCCGCCUCCUUCCGCGCCGCCAUCGGCCUCCUGGCGCGACACCUGAAGGCGACCCACGGGGGCCGCAUCGACUACAUCGCAGGCCUAGACUCCCGAGGCUUCCUCUUUGGCCCCUCCCUGGCCCAGGAGCUUGGACUGGGCUGCGUGCUCAUCCGAAAGCGGGGGAAGCUGCCAGGCCCCACUCUGUGGGCCUCCUAUUCCCUGGAGUACGGGAAGGCUGAGCUGGAGAUUCAGAAAGACGCCCUGGAGCCAGGACAGAGGGUGGUCGUCGUGGAUGAUCUGCUGGCCACUGGUGGAACCAUGAACGCUGCCUGUGAGCUGCUGGGCCGCCUGCAGGCUGAGGUCCUGGAGUGCGUGAGCCUGGUGGAGCUGACCUCGCUUAAGGGCAGGGAGAAGCUGGCACCUGUACCCUUCUUCUCUCUCCUGCAGUAUGAGUGACCACAGGGCCUCCCAGCCCAACAUCUCCAGCUGGAUCCCAGGGAAAUAUCAGCCUUGGGCAACUGCAGUGACCAGGGGCACCGGCUGCCCACAGGGAACACAUUCCUUUGCUGGGGUUCAGCGCCUCUCCUGGGGCUGGAAGUGCCAAAGCCUGGGGCAAAGCUGUGUUUCAGCCACACUGAACCCAAUUACACACAGCGGGAGAACGCAGUAAACAGCUUU